CUGAGAAGUUCUAUUUCAGCUGCCACAGGAUGGGUGUAACUUCCAUUAGCUUCUCCUAGCUCAUGUAUCCAAAAGAAAAAAACUUGUUUGAUAUCAGUAUCAUGUACCAACACUAUGUGAACUUUUCAUCUCUCUUCAAGGCCACCAGUUUGGAUUUUUUCUGUCUACAGUAUUUCUAAAGGUAACUGUAACAUUUCAAAGAAAGAUCACUUGUAGGAAACCUGUAGGUUACUUCAUCAAGGCUAGUCAGAUUGUUAUGAACAGUAAUAUCUUAAAUAUCUCUUAAGAUAGUAGUAUUCUAGGUAGAGCUAUUAACAUUUCUGACUAUGAAGUAGUUUUGCAUAAGCCAUUGAUCAAAAAUGUUCAGCUGAAGUAAGGGCCAUAUAAAGAGGGUUGAAGAAAAUUCUCCUUGGGUGAUAUAUUGAUGUCUGUUGACACAGAAUAAACCAGCAAGUUUCAUUUACAGACUUUAUCUAGCAAAAAAAUAUAUUCAAUUCUUAGCUUUACUCAUGUGAGUAUUCCCACUGAAAUCAACAGAUUAUUCAUUGAAAUAAAAGAGAAUAGUCUGUCUAAAAUGUCAAGCAUAUAUAAUUUUUUUACGGGAUUGAGACUUUAAGGCCCGACCCUCAGCAGCUGCAAAUAGGAGUAGCUCCAAUGACUUCAAGGAGGUUUGCAAAUAUACAC
Molecule: long non-coding RNA, 684 nt
Organism: Dermochelys coriacea (leatherback sea turtle)
Lineage: Eukaryota; Metazoa; Chordata; Testudines; Dermochelyidae
Exons: 3
Source: RefSeq, a predicted model, not a curated record